Molecule: ribosomal RNA, 658 nt
Filed under: Paracoccus rhizosphaerae
Lineage: Bacteria; Pseudomonadati; Pseudomonadota; Alphaproteobacteria; Rhodobacterales; Paracoccaceae
Description: bacterial SSU rRNA
Rfam family: Bacterial small subunit ribosomal RNA
Source: RNAcentral
GAGCGAGGUCUUCGGGCCUAGCGGCGGACGGGUGAGUAACGCGUGGGAACGUGCCCUUUGCUACGGAAUAGUCCCGGGAAACUGGGUUUAAUACCGUAUGUGCCCUCCAUUUUGGUGAUGGUUGGGGAAAGAUUUAUCGGCAAAGGAUCGGCCCGCGUUGGAUUAGGUAGUUGGUGGGGUAAUGGCCUACCAAGCCGACGAUCCAUAGCUGGUUUGAGAGGAUGAUCAGCCACACUGGGACUGAGACACGGCCCAGACUCCUACGGGAGGCAGCAGUGGGGAAUCUUAGACAAUGGGGGCAACCCUGAUCUAGCCAUGCCGCGUGAGUGAUGAAGGCCCUAGGGUUGUAAAGCUCUUUCAGCUGGGAAGAUAAUGACGGUACCAGCAGAAGAAGCCCCGGCUAACUCCGUGCCAGCAGCCGCGGUAAUACGGAGGGGGCUAGCGUUGUUCGGAAUUACUGGGCGUAAAGCGCACGUAGGCGGACUGGAAAGUUGGGGGUGAAAUCCCGGGGCUCAACCUCGGAACUGCCUUCAAAACUAUCAGUCUGGAGUUCGAGAGAGGUGAGUGGAAUUCCGAGUGUAGAGGUGAAAUUCGUAGAUAUUCGGAGGAACACCAGUGGCGAAGGCGGCUCACUGGCUCGAUACUGACGCUGAGGUGC